Molecule: transfer RNA, 152 nt
Filed under: Halonotius sp. J07HN6
Lineage: Archaea; Methanobacteriati; Methanobacteriota; Halobacteria; Halobacteriales; Haloferacaceae
Also listed under: 1 other name
Description: tRNA-Met
Source: RNAcentral
GGCCGGGUGGCUUAGCUGGACAUAGCGCCGCACUCAUAGGGUUACCGAGAUUCGGUGCGGUUACCGCCUUGGAAGCGUCCGCUCCCAUGAGGCCUGCCGAGCCUCGUACCUGGGAUAUGCGGAGAUCGUGGGUUCGGAGCCCACCCCGGCCA